AUGCCAGGAGCCCUGCGCGCCCGACGCUGCCCCUGCCGGCGACCUUCUCCAUGGCGCCACCACCGGCGAGCCCUGCCAGUUCCUUCGCCUCACCACCCUCUCCUUCACCUCCUCGCGCCCGCGCCUCCUCCUCCCUCCAUUCGGCUUCAAGCUCGCCGCCUCCCUGCCACGGCGUCCGUGUUGUAUCGUCGCGCCGGCGACCACGACCAACAUCGUGCCUCUGUUGGCGCCGCACCACGUUGCUGCUCCGACGCCAUCUUCCUCCCCCUUGCUGUUUCGCCAGCCAUGGCCUCCUCUGCACCCGCACGUCACCCCCAGCAAGCUCUGCCCGCCCUUCUCCUUUUUUCGGGUUCAUUUCCAGCGCCGCUCGACCCUGCUCCGCUUCCUGCACGUGACCUUGCGGCCUAG
RNAcentral lists this ribosomal RNA (408 nucleotides) under Triticum aestivum (bread wheat). RNAcentral's name for it is "partial small subunit ribosomal RNA". Lineage: Eukaryota; Viridiplantae; Streptophyta; Magnoliopsida; Poales; Poaceae. The record is from RNAcentral.